This is an RNA transcript of Papaver somniferum (opium poppy), 994 nucleotides long. It is a transcript of the gene named monothiol glutaredoxin-S10-like, with no coding region annotated. NCBI's taxonomy places the organism in Eukaryota, Viridiplantae, Streptophyta, Magnoliopsida, Ranunculales, Papaveraceae. The transcript has 5 exons. The record is from RefSeq and is a predicted model, not a curated record.
CAUGUAGUAUAAAUAAAAAUCUGUUCUCUUUACAGAAAAUAAAAAUAAAAAAUCGGAGAUGAAAAUCUGAAAUAAAACAACUAAAGCCGAAAAAAGCUGCAACACGGAGAUAGCAAAACCCCCCAAAAAAAAACAAUGGCGGACGUCGCUAAUCUGACCAUACGCUGUUGUUCUCCAUCAAUUCUCAGCAGAAGAACUUCUAAGAAUGUAAUCUCUUGUUUCUCUCUCAACAACAUAUCUUCUCUUUCAGUUCUUAGAUCUUACGAUAUUAGGACCAGAAACCGAGGACCAGUUAAAAUUAUUGAUGGCGGAAAUAAAAGAAGAAAUGGGAUUGCAGUGGUUCGAGCAAUGUCUGCAUCUUUUGGGUCUCGAUUAGAAGAAAAUGUCAAGAAAACACUUUCUGAUAAUCCCGUUGUUAUUUAUUCUAAAACUUGGUGUUCGUAUUCUUCUGAGGUGAAGUCUUUGUUCAAGCGAUUAGGUGCGGAACCACUUGUUAUUGAAUUGGAUGAGAUGGGUCCUCAAGGGCCUGAAUUGCAGAAGGUGCUAGAAAGGUUAACAGGACAACAUACUGUGCCAAAUGUUUUCAUCGUAUAUCAUGUGAUCAUUUGGAUGACGAUAAUGCUUUAUAAAGAAGGUCUUGUUUUUGUUAAUUGGACAAUUCAUCCAUUCGGUUAACCGCUAAACUGAGUUUUCAUCUUUUAACAGCUGGGAAGCACAUUGGUGGAUGUACAGACACGGUAAAGCUACACCGAAAAGGAGAACUUGAAUCCUUAUUGUCAGAAGCAAAGAGCCAAAAUACCCGGAGUUAGCAAACCAGUGGAUGGGGUUAUUCGAAAUCGUUAAAUCAGCUUUUCAUUUGUAUUUAUGAGGGUUCUGUCAUUAUAUAUGUUUUUCGUUUACAAAAAACUAAAUUCAUUUUUAUCGUUCUAGGUUUCAGCUGUAAAAAUGAUACAUUUGUAACUUACGGAAUCAAAUUAAGAAAUCUCUUGAUACA